AUGAUUAAGGAUAUGGCUGGAAGAACGGAUGACACAUUCUUUAUGGCCUGGCUUGCGAUACUAUACCUUGAUGCGCUCGUACAUGACAUCCCAGUAAGCAACUGCGCGAUACGAUCGAAUGCAUGGGAUAGUACUCUAAUUGUCAAGGUGAUCAAGAAGGAUACUAUCUCUCCUGGUGUGUUCGGCAAAUUACAACUUAAAGAGGAGUAUAGAGGCACGGAGCAGACACCACUGUUUGGUGGAAUUUUGCAAGCUGAAGCAUUCGUGGCAUCCAAGUUACCAAUAACAUACAAUCCGCAGAAAAAGGCAAAGAUUGCAAAAGUGGUCAAUGAGCUGUGCAAGGCUGUAACUGAACAGGUUGGCACCUUCAUUGAAGCAGUAGCCAAGAUCGAUGACGAGGAACCAGAUAUUGAUCCUUAUGAGAUGCCCUGGUCCUUGAACCCUUACGAAGAUCAAACUCUUAUCAUGGUGACGGGUUCUGCGAUGCACCAUCUUUUGACCUCGGCAUAG
Molecule: ribosomal RNA, 510 nt
Filed under: Triticum aestivum (bread wheat)
Lineage: Eukaryota; Viridiplantae; Streptophyta; Magnoliopsida; Poales; Poaceae
Description: partial small subunit ribosomal RNA
Source: RNAcentral